CCCUUAGAUGUUCUGGGCCGCACGCGUGCUACACUGAGUGGAUCAGCGGGUCAGGUUGCGCGAAAGUGUUUCCUAAUCUUGAAAUCCGCUCGUGAUGGGGAUUGACGGUUGCAAUUUUCCGUCAUGUACGAGGAAUACCUUGUAAGCGCGGGUCAUCAUCCCGCGCUGAAUACGUCCCUGCCCUUUGUACACACCGCCCGUCGCUCCUACCGAUUGAGUGGUCCGGUGAGGCUUUGGGAUCUGAGCGGAAAGAGCGUUUCGCUGUUUCUGCUCGGAAAACUCAGUCGAACCUUAUCAUUUAGAGGAAGGAGAAGUCGUAACA
This 322-nucleotide ribosomal RNA is filed under the name uncultured eukaryote. RNAcentral's name for it is "partial 18S ribosomal RNA". It matches the Rfam family "Eukaryotic small subunit ribosomal RNA", at positions 1470 to 1796 of the family's 1831-position model. The record is from RNAcentral.